Molecule: ribosomal RNA, 471 nt
Filed under: Triticum aestivum (bread wheat)
Lineage: Eukaryota; Viridiplantae; Streptophyta; Magnoliopsida; Poales; Poaceae
Description: partial small subunit ribosomal RNA
Source: RNAcentral
AUGCCCGGCUCCACUGUGAUGCUGAUCUCCGGCUCCAUGGCCGCGCUUCUCGUCAUCUCCCUCUUCACCUUCCUCUGCUCCAACCGGCGCCAGACGCACCGCGCGCCGCCGUCGCACUCAGAGCGGUGCGUCGUUGACGUCGAGCUCGGCCACGGGUGCGGGGCCACAGGGAUGGACGACACCGUCCUGGCCGCAUACACAACCACGGUGUACUCCUCCGUGGCGAAGCGACGAGGGGAAGACCAGAUGGCUGUUGCCGAAGCGUCGGCCGACGGUGACCAGCCGCCCGACGACACGCAGACGACGUGCGCGGUGUGCCUGGCGGAGUACGCGGACGCCGACGAGCUCCGCCGGCUGCCCGGCUGCAAGCACGUGUUCCACCGGCUAUGUGUCGACGAGUGGCUCCGGCGGCGGCCGAGCUGCCCGCUCUGCCGCACGUCGCCGCCUGCGGUCACCACCGCUGACUCCUGA